This 967-nucleotide ribosomal RNA is filed under the name Trigonopterus sp. 766 AR-2022a. Its description in RNAcentral is "SSU rRNA". It matches the Rfam family "Eukaryotic small subunit ribosomal RNA", at positions 23 to 931 of the family's 1831-position model. The record is from RNAcentral. Lineage: Eukaryota; Metazoa; Arthropoda; Insecta; Coleoptera; Curculionidae. RNAcentral also lists the same sequence under 2 other names.
GUCAUAUGCUUGUCUCAAAGAUUAAGCCAUGCAUGUCUCAGUACAAGCCAAAUUAAGGUGAAACCGCGAAAGGCUCAUUAAAUCAGUUAUGGUUCCUUAGAUCGUACCCACAAUUACUUGGAUAACUGUGGUAAUUCUAGAGCUAAUACAUGCAAACAGAGCUCCGACCGGAGACGGAAGGAGUGCUUUUAUUAGAUCAAAACCAAUCGGUGGCGAGUUCGCUCGUUAUCGUACAACUUGGUGACUCUGAAUAACUUUACGCUGAUCGCACGGUCAUCGCACCGGCGACGCAUCUUUCAAAUGUCUGCCUUAUCAACUGUCGAUGGUAGGUUCUGCGCCUACCAUGGUUGUAACGGGUAACGGGGAAUCAGGGUUCGAUUCCGGAGAGGGAGCCUGAGAAACGGCUACCACAUCCAAGGAAGGCAGCAGGCGCGCAAAUUACCCACUCCCGGCACGGGGAGGUAGUGACGAAAAAUAACGAUACGGGACUCAUCCGAGGCCCCGUAAUCGGAAUGAGUACACUCUAAACCCUUUAACGAGGAUCAAUUGGAGGGCAAGUCUGGUGCCAGCAGCCGCGGUAAUUCCAGCUCCAAUAGCGUAUAUUAAAGUUGUUGCGGUUAAAAAGCUCGUAGUCGAAUUUGUGUCUCGCGCCGCCGGUUCAUCGUCCGCGGUGUUAACUGGCGAGUCGCGAGACGUCCUGCCGGUGGGCUUAGCUCGCGAGGGCGGCCCAACUCAAUCCUGCCGCGGUGCUCUUCAUUGAGUGUCGAGGUGGGCCGGCACGUUUACUUUGAACAAAUUAGAGUGCUUAAAGCAGGCUAAAACUUCGCCUGAAUACUGUGUGCAUGGAAUAAUGGAAUAGGACCUCGGUUCUAUUUUGUUGGUUUUCGGAACCCCGAGGUAAUGAUUAAUAGGAACGGAUGGGGGCAUUCGUAUUGCGACGUUAGAGGUGAAAUUCUUGGAUCGUCGC